This 2378-nucleotide long non-coding RNA is filed under the name Equus caballus (horse). Its description in RNAcentral is "lncRNA (ENSECAG00000050517.1)". The record is from RNAcentral. Lineage: Eukaryota; Metazoa; Chordata; Mammalia; Perissodactyla; Equidae.
AAAAAGGACAGUCCAGAUUUGCUUUUUCAUCCUGUAUGCCUUUUUCCUCUCUUGCUGCAGAGCUGGGUCAACAGGAAGCUCUAAAGCAGGGGAUGAGGCCAUGGACGUCCCUGAAAAUGUGCCUCCUCUCUCUGCAGAGAUCAGGAUCAUCCUGGUCUCAGCUCAGCACCUGGAGUGAAGAGUACUCCCAGCAGAGCCAGAGCGGUGAGCCCACCCCGUUGCCCACUUCUGCGUGUCCACCCAGACUUAAGUCCAUCAGAGAACUGACGUCUCAAGGCAACCAAAGAAAUGGAAUUCAAGAAAGUAACAACAUUCUCCUAGCCACAGAAAUGCGAAAUGAGAUACACAGACUGUUUGACUUUUGGCAAGACACAGGAAGAAGAGAUGGCUGCCAUAGAAGGAACAAGAAACAAGCUGACAUUUUAGCAAAUUCCUAAAGACUUAGCGUGGGCUGGUGUACCAGUGUGGUGUAACUCCCCUUGUAGACGCCCGGGGAGUUCUCACGCUCCAGCUCUUCUCCACCGGCCUUUAACAGGUGUUCACAAAGACUGAGGGCAGGGCAGGAGACCAGAGAGAGCGUCCCUCAGUAGCCCAGGUGUGUAGGAAAUGAUUUGAUGACACUGGAGAACAGGAAAAAAAAUGAUUGCGUGCUUCCCCCAACCUUUCUGUGAUACAAAGCAAAAGUGUUACGCCACUGGGGCAAAUGCAGCAAAAACAUGUCGCCUCCAGAGCUAAUCGGGGAGGGGUAGAUGGAAAACCCAUCUGCCUUGGGUGAGGGUAUAAAAGCUUCCUUCCUGGCCCCUAGGAACCAGGUAAAGACCCACUGCUUCUGGGGAAGGAUAGAAACAGAAGCCGUGCGCCUUAGAGGAGGGGCAAGAAAAUCUCUUGGCCCAGGAUCUUGCACCAGCACAAAGCAGAGGUGUGCUACUGAUGGGAAGGGACGGGAAAAUGGCUCCUGCCAGCAGUUCACACCAAUGGGAGACAGAGUUUACUGCCCUGCGGGGCAGGAGGAGGAAGGGGAAGAGGAGGAGAAAGGAGGAGCAGGAAUGCUGAGAGAUCCUGCCUGCAAGGCCAAGUGCACAGUCCUUGCCUAAGACCGAGGCUGGACCAGGAGAAUUGAGAAUCUGCUCCUGCUCCCCAGGAGCCUAGCACCAAGUAGCAAGCACCGGUGGUCUACCAUGGAAGAGGGGAAAUAACAGCAAAAAGACCCCCUCUGUGGUGCCAGCUUGCCGGGACUGCUGAAAUCUGACGGUGGAGCAGAAAUACGGAAAAACUACUCCAGGACCCAAGGCCUCCGACUAAGCUACAGGCGAAGAGAGCGCACCACCAGAGCAAUUUGAAGCCUGUGGUGCGCUGCAGCUCAUGACAGCAACAAUAAAACCCAAACUUAGCUUGGCUACCGAGGAGAUCGAAUCAGUUCCCCCACACGAAUGGCCUGACAGAAGAGGCACACCCAUUUCCAGAAGUCAACAUCGUUUACCUCAUCUCUACUGUUCUUCAAACACGAUGACUGGCGGUCAACGAAAAACGGUGAGAUACCAAACAGCAAGGAAAAAAAAGACCCAAUGUUUCGUUUUUGUUUUCCCCAGUUUUAUCGAGAUAUAAUUGACAUGUGAGGUUGCAUAAGUUUAAGGGGUACAACACAAUGAUUUGAUACAAGUAUAUGCUAUGAAAUGACUACCACAAUAUGUUUAGUUAACAUCCAUCACCUCUCAGACCUUUUUUUCCUGUGAUGAGAACUUUAAGAUCUACUCUGUUAGCAACUUUCAAACAUACAAUACAGUCAUGCAUCGCUUUACAACGCAGACACAUUCUAAGAAAUGCGUCAUUAGGCGAUUUGGUCGUUACGUGAACAUCAUGGCGUGUACUUACACACACCUAGAUGGUGUAGCCUACUACACACCUGGGCUGUAUGGUACUGAUCUUAUGGGACCAGCGUCGUAUAUGCGGGCUGUCAUUGACUGAAAGGUCAUUAUGAGGUGCGUGACCGUACAGUAUUAUUAACUACAGACACCAUGCUGGACAUUAUGUCCCCAGAAUUUAUCAGUCUUAGAACUGGAAGUUUGUACCUUUUGACCAUCUUCCCCCUUCUCUCAUUCCACCCCACCCCCCUACCCUUGCCCCCUGGCCUCUGGCAACUACCAAUCUGUUCUCUGUUUCUAUGAGACCCGUUGUUAAGAAAUAAAGCAAUCACGGAACUAGCUCAGAGAUGCUGGAAUUAUCACAAAGUGUCUUUAAAAUAACUGUGAUUAAUAUAUUAAAGGAACGAGUGGAAAAUUUGCAUGCAUGAGCAGAUGGGGAACUGACCGUUCAGAGGAAAGGAGGAUGGGGACUAGGAGAAUCCUUUGAACAGUUACAGGUCAUUCCUUGCAGCCGGC